Molecule: long non-coding RNA, 788 nt
Filed under: Gossypium barbadense (sea-island cotton)
Lineage: Eukaryota; Viridiplantae; Streptophyta; Magnoliopsida; Malvales; Malvaceae
Description: long non-coding RNA (GBAR_LNC018007)
Source: RNAcentral
UAGUUGCUGCCGAAAUUUGAAGGAAGCCAUAGCUAAGGUUUCUUUGCUUUCUCAAGCUCAUAGUAAGUGCAUCCUAGCCCCAUUUUUAAUGUUCUUCGCAUUUUUGGAAUCCUCGUAACUCGGUUUAGCUUAUUCUAGCAAUAAUUCGUGUUAGGGCUCAUAUUUGGAAAAAUACCCAUAGGUGAAAUGUGUUUAUUUUGCUGUUUUAUGGUGGAAUAUGAAGCUAUAAAUUAUGUUAAACAACUUUUGCUAAGCGAUUUUAAGCGAAAACGGGUAAAUAGGCAUAAUCGGUAAAAAUAAUUAUUGUUCAUAAGUGUAUGUUAGAGUGAGAAUUUGAUGUUGCCAUAGAAGGGAAAAAUGUUCAGCAUGUCAUAAAACCUAAGAAUAAGUGAUGAAGUUUAAUUUCCGAGCUUGGGGACAAAAGUGUAAUUAUGCAAAAGUUUGGGGGCAAAAUUGUAAUUUUCAAAAAGUUGGGUGGUGGAUUAUUUUAAUGAAUGUGAACAUUAAAUGAGUUAAAUUUGCUAUUAUAGAUCAAGAAAGACAUGAAGAUUAUCUCAAACGAGGAAAAGAAAAGAUAGUGGAGUGAAGUGCAAAAUUACGAUAUUUUGCACCGAGUGACUUCCGACAACUCGGAAAUUUGGAACGAAGUCAGACAAUCAUCCACACUAUCCUUCACACUUGGGGUAUUUUGCUACUAUCGUUCCGGAAAAUUAUGGCAUGUAAAGACGACCUAUGAAAUAUGGAAUCAUCAUGUAAAUAUAUGUUAUGGUUUGAUUUAAAAUGUGGUG